Molecule: long non-coding RNA, 315 nt
Organism: Tribolium madens (black flour beetle)
Lineage: Eukaryota; Metazoa; Arthropoda; Insecta; Coleoptera; Tenebrionidae
Exons: 2
Source: RefSeq, a predicted model, not a curated record
AAGUAAUCACAACAAGAUGAAGUUCUUUGGAAUUGUGUUAUUUUUGUUUUCACUUGUCGCAGCAAGUUUUGUAACUGCUUUUCCUCUAGAUCCACAAGAGUCUUAUUUGCCAAGAAUGUCUCCACCUUAUUUUCCUUAUUCCCCAAGAAUGAACCCACCCCACGUUUAUCAAGGACCACCGCCCAUGGGACCAAGAUGGGGGCCACAAAAACAAAAUCAAUUCUGUGACUGGUUUAAUGGUGGAGCUUGUUAUUAAACAUUUUACGAGAAAAGAAAUUAAUUGUUCUUUGCAACAAAUAAAGCAAUUAUAAAAGA